UCAGAGGGUCGGGCGAUCACUGAGUACCAGAGGAAAGUCCGGGCUCCAUCAAGACGGGAUGCCGGGUAACACCCGGCCGACGUGAGUCGAGGGACAGUGCCACAGAAAGUAAACCGCCUUUACAGGCAAGGAUGAAAGGGUGCGGUAAGAGCGCACCGACGUGAGGGCAACCAAGCGGGCUUGGUAAACCCCAUCCGGAGCAAGACCAAAUAGGGACAACACAUCGUGUGUCUUGACACUGUUGUCCGGGUCGGUCGCACUAGCGUGUCAGCAAUGCCGCGCCCAGAUGAAUGAUUGCCCCUGCUUUGCAGGACAGAACCCGGCUUACAGACCCUCUGGCCAU
This 343-nucleotide RNase P RNA is filed under the name Hyphomonadaceae bacterium. RNAcentral describes it as "RNase P RNA component class A". It matches the Rfam family "Bacterial RNase P class A". Rfam says of the family: Ribonuclease P (RNase P) is a ubiquitous endoribonuclease, found in archaea, bacteria and eukarya as well as chloroplasts and mitochondria. Lineage: Bacteria; Pseudomonadati; Pseudomonadota; Alphaproteobacteria; Hyphomonadales; Hyphomonadaceae. The record is from RNAcentral.